Molecule: long non-coding RNA, 2946 nt
Organism: Neofelis nebulosa (Clouded leopard)
Lineage: Eukaryota; Metazoa; Chordata; Mammalia; Carnivora; Felidae
Exons: 2
Source: RefSeq, a predicted model, not a curated record
UGAGCUGAGCGUGUGUGCCCUUUUGUGGCUGCUUCCGUUUCCUCAGGGCCAUGUACUGAGAGAUAAAGGGAAAGGUGUCACAGUUUCUAGAGAGAGGACAUCUCCAUGAUUUCAUUUUUGCACAUGUCCCUGUCUCUGAAAAUCUUAGGAAGGAAUCACUGGGUCAAAAGGGAACUUGCAUCUUAAAUUCAGCCGGCAUCACCAAAUUGCUCUCCAACAAACGACGUGAGGUCAAGGGCAGUCUCAUUAUUUUGCUCCUUUAAAACAUAGCCUCUUUCUUGGGCUGGUGGUGGAAUUUCAAAGUUUUCUGACGAAUGUUCCAAUUACAAUUUGCUUUGGACUUACAGCCUGGUGUAGCUUGAUGGUAGUUUUGGGGACUCGAGCAAAUAGGAAAAGACAAGGAAAUGAAGCCACCAGAGGUGAGUUGUAAGAAGAAUUUAGGACAUAGACAGGCACAAAGGGAAGACAAUGCGAGACACAGGAAGAAGACGGCCGUCUGCAAGCCAAGGAGCGAGGCCUCAGAAGAAACCAACCUUGCCAACACCUUGAUCUCUGGCUUCCCACCUCCAGAACUGUGAGGAAAUAAAUUUGUUGUGUAAGCCUCCAGUCCAUGGUGCCUUGUUACAGAAGUGUGAGGAAACUAAACCACAAGAUUCCAAGCAAUGAGGGAAGAGAACAGGGGCUUCCCCAGCCGCAUAGAGAGACUCAGGACCCUCGGUAAAACAACAGUUUGAACAAAAAUGUCACCAAACCAGGACAGAAAUGAGGGCAGCACGCCUUUGGAGGAACUAGCCUUUGCUCUGAAAGCAAGAUUGGGAAAUAUUAAUUGCCACCAUUGGCUUUGGCGGUCUUGUGUGACUGGUUCUUAACGACACGCUUCCUAGGAGUGGACAAACAGCAAUGUGGGCAUGUCACUGGGUCACCUACUUUCCACCCUUCUAGAUAGGGGGUAACCAGGAAUGGAAGGCAGUAUGCCUUUCCUGUCACCAUCUCUGACGUGGUCACAAAGAGCCAUCCUCAAGCCCCACUACUUAGCUUAGCAGUGAAAGAAGGACUGAGGAGUCUGAAAAGUUAGGUUCUAGCUCAAGCAGAUCAAUCACGGAAUCACAUCACUAUCUCUGCAAAUCAGCCUCGUUAUCUGUGAGAAAAAUUCCUAUUCCUCUUGAUAUCACAGAGGUUUUCUCUCAAGUAAGACCAUUCAUGACUAUUAUACCCCCACCUGCUCCCCAGAACUGUAGUGGGCUUGUUAUAAAGACAUAAAAUAGGAUAUCUAAGCAAGCAUAAUAUAAUUGAAGUUGAGAAAUGGAGGGAGGAUAUGGCUGUAUAUUAUACUGUGCCAUAUGGACUAAGCCCAAAAUUUAGCUCUGGGCAUCCUGGCAGCCAAGAGGAAAAGUGGAACACUUUCAGAAAUAGGAAAAAGAGGGGCGCUUGGAUGGCUCAGCCAGUUAAGCCUCUGACUUCAGCUCAGGUCACGAUCCCAUGGUUCUCGAGUUUGAGCCCCGCAUUGGGCUCUGUGCGGACAGCGUGGAGCCUGCUUCAGAUCCUGUCUCCCUCUCCCUCUGCCCCUUCCCCACUCACGUGUGCUCUUUCUAUCUCAAAAGUAAAUAAACAUUAAAAAAAUAGGAAAAAGAAAACUGUAAAGUAUAAGAUACUACAGUUUCACUUACUAUACUUUUUUAAAGUAAACAUUAUACAUAUUUAAAAUGAUAGUUUUAUUUUAAUGUGCAGAUUCCAAACAUGAACAGAAUGCAUCCAGGUUGUAAACUCGCAUUCCUUGCAUUUCUAGACAUUUUAGGCUUUUGAGACUUGUUGAGUUUAGGACAGAUUCACUUAUCCCUUGUAGCCUCUUCCCAAUCACAAUCUCAUGUUCUAGGCAAAUCCAAUCAACUUUUUUUUUCUCUCCUUCUCUCUUUAUAAAAAUAGCAUCUAUACUUUUUUCUAAGUAUGAGAGCAAUCCCUGCUCCUAGUAGAAAUGCAUAAAAUAUUGAAAACUAUAAAUGAGAAUUAAAAUAUCCGUGGUCCCCCCGUCCCAUCCCUUCCAGAUGACCGCCACCAACAUUUCUGUGGAUUUCAUCGCAGUAUCUUCUUUAUGUUUGCUGACUCUCCUAGUACUUCUUGACCCACAGAUUUUUGCUUGCCUCUACCUUAGAAAUGUUGGCACUGGAUAAACACUGUGUAGGAGCCUCUAGAUUUACCAGCUUGUCAGCGCCUCCCGGACUUGGAGUUUGUUUCCUUUAAAAGAAAAGUGAGCAGCCCGUUCCUGGUGCCAGUCUCGCCUCUCCCGCCUGCGGAGCCUUGGGCAGCAGCUGCCUCCACGGGGCCGAGGCGUGGACGUGUCAUCGUGGACAGCUGGUGUGACCAAGUCCCACUCUGUGCUGCAGAUUGCCAGCAACCCCAGUCUAGUGGCAAACUGAGUUCCAAGCCACUAUAAUUGUCUUUGUCCAAUAUUCCUAAUCUUCUCAGUGAAAUUUACCUGAAGGCAGAGUGGGCUUUGAGAAAGGGCUUCUCAUCACCGCCCCACUCCAUUUAAAAAAAAAAAAAAAUCCACAGCACGAUUCUGAACUUUCUUGCCCCUUCUCUUUAUAUUAUUGAUUCAUCAUUGACAUAGAACGUUGUAUUUGUUUCAGGUGUGCAAUAUAAUGAUUCCGUAUUUGUGUAUAUGGUGAAAUGAUCAGCACAGUAAGUCUUGUUACCAUCCGUCACCGUCUGCCCCUUCUCAGUCCACUGUUGAAAUUCCAAAUGGAUACAGAUUAACACACAUCAUUUAAAAGUACCACUCCAGAGGCGCUUUGGUGGGCGGUUGAGCACCCAACUCUGGAUCUCAGCUCAGAUCAUGAUCUCACAGUUCUUGUGUUGGAGCCCCACAUCGGGUUUUACACUGAGAGCGUGGAGCCUGCUUGGGAUUCUCUCUCUCCCUUUCUCUGACCCUCCCCCACUCUCUCUCUC